Rhagoletis pomonella (apple maggot) is the source of this 339-nucleotide long non-coding RNA. RefSeq lists it as uncharacterized. NCBI's taxonomy places the organism in Eukaryota, Metazoa, Arthropoda, Insecta, Diptera, Tephritidae. The record is from RefSeq and is a predicted model, not a curated record. The transcript has 2 exons.
AAAAAGUCGCACUCAUAGGAAGUUGUGCUACUACGCAAUGUAAAUUAAAAUAAUGAGUGAUGGCAAUUCCCUAGGAAAUUUCGCAAGUGACUAGCAGAAGAAAGUUAAGAAGCGGAAAAGAUCAUUUGAUUCAAAGUGGAUUACAAUAUAUCCGUGGUUACAAGAAGUUAAUCGCAACAGUGAAUUAAUUUUUUUGUACUCUGUGUUCAAAGACUUUAUCUACUGCAAAUAGUGGCGAUUACAACGUUAGACGGCACGAGAACUCAGAUAAGCACAAAUUGCUUUUGAAGCAGAGUCAAGCACAAAAAAAAAUACCCAAUUUAGCAACAAUUACAAAAU